AUGGUUUAUAUUUUUGAGCAUGCACGAUAUAGAUUAAAAAUAUUUUAACUUAUUUUUUUACUAUAGUAUUUAGAAAAUAAAAUUUUAAAAUACACAUGUAUGCCCCUACAUACGAAUUUCAAUAGUGGUAUCAAAGCCACGGGUUUCAUAUGCAUGAAAUUGAAAUACAUAUUUUGAAAAGAGUUUUAAAAUCUGAUUUUUUUC
Molecule: long non-coding RNA, 204 nt
Filed under: Elaeis guineensis (African oil palm)
Lineage: Eukaryota; Viridiplantae; Streptophyta; Magnoliopsida; Arecales; Arecaceae
Description: long non-coding RNA (EGUI_LNC068017)
Source: RNAcentral